RNA transcript from Daucus carota subsp. sativus, 2463 nucleotides. RefSeq lists it as uncharacterized. NCBI's taxonomy places the organism in Eukaryota, Viridiplantae, Streptophyta, Magnoliopsida, Apiales, Apiaceae. The record is from RefSeq and is a predicted model, not a curated record. The transcript is spliced from 4 exons.
CUUAAGCCCCUGAGAACCCAAUCGUCAUACAGUAGGAUAACUUAAACAUAAUUUCUCUUCUUAUUGGUUAAACCAGAUACUUUUAAGAUGGCCACUGUUAGCUUGAAACUCCUUGUGGACACCAGUACCCAGAAGGUAAUCUUUGCAGAGGCAGGAAAGGAUUUUGUGGACUUCUUGUUUGGACUCCUGGAAAUUCCCCUCGGAUCUCUGCUGAGCCAUCUCGCCAGGCAAGGCGUGUAUGAAUCCUGGGCUUUGAGCAAAGUCUAUCAAAGUGUGAAUGAACUUGACAAAGAGUACCUACAGCCAGAUCAAACUAAGAACAUUCUACUAAAUCCCAUAAUGUCCUCGUCAAGAACCAAGGGUGCCCCUUUAAUGCAACAAUUGGGAUAUCGAAAGUCACAGUCGUCAAGCAGUUCCAGUUAUAACAGUAGUGUUGGGAAAGAAGUGGAUGGGUAUGUUAAAGGAUCGGUGACAUACAUGAUAUCAGAUGACCUAGCAGUGAAGCCUGUGUCCAGCAUUUCCAGCAUCAGUCUUAUCAACAGUUUAGGUGUCAAAGAUAUUGCUACUCUGGAAGAAAAGAUCGUGGACAUCGACAUGCAAAAGGCUUUGGAGUUGGUGACGACCUCCUUUGGAUCCAGCACUGUUCUCACAGAUGUAUUUGUUGGGAAGGCAGUAAAGAAAUGUUAGAAUGGUGCUUGAUGAGUGCUCGGCACUUCAUGAGGGAUGCAGUUUCUAGUUUUAAUUCAUGCAACUUAUUAUUAAACAGAUGUUUCCUGCUCAGCUUCUAAACUAUUGUUUUUUUUUUUUAUCGAAUUUGAGAUUUCAGAUUUGAGGGUAAGAUUUACUUUUGAUGAAUACAUGAAGUUUUUCUUUUUUUAAGAUUAAAGUGUGGACUCGGACAAAACAAAAAAAGCAUACAAGAAAAUGAAAGCAAAAGAUUAACAUACAUACAAUUUAUUGUAAUACCAAGUAGAUAAGAAAUAGAUGAAAAUUUGAAUCAAAGGAUGACUUUACUUCAGGAGGAUUCUUUUUGGUUAAGUAUGAUAUUAAUUGGUUUACUUAAAAUGAAGCUAUACACUGGCAUUUGAAAGGAAUGGUUCUGUGGCUUGAUUUUUGUGAAACCAUGCCACAUAUUUGUCAUGGUAUCAGAUUGAUGUUAAUUGGGGGGUUUUACCAUAUGUACAGAGUACAGGUGAAAGUGAAAGAUUAUGUUAAUGCUAAAUCUUGUUUAGUUUCAUAUAAUCUUUUUUUGAAAUUGGUUUGGAGUAAAGUAAAUCAUUUGAGAUGUACUGAGUAAAGUUGGCUCAAGUUUGGAUAAUUGGAUAUGUCACUACAGGAUGUCCACAUCUCCUAUUGGGUACCACUGGAUAUCCACAUCUCCCUGGCACCACCUUUACUUUUUUCAAUUAGACAUUAUUAAGUAUCAACAGUCUUUAGACUCUACGUGAUUUCAGUGUUUUCUGCUUCAAGGAAUUGUAAGAUGGCCCCCUUAAGCUUGAAACUGGUCAUAGACAACAGCACCGAAAAGGUAAUCUGUGCAGAGGCGGAAAAGGAUUUCGUGGACUUCUUAUUUGGACUGCUACGAACUCCUCUGGGAUCUCUGAUAAGGGAUCUUGCUAAGGAAGGGAUGUGUCAAUCCUGGUCUUUGAGCAAAGUCUAUCUGAGUGUUACUAAACUUGGUGACGAGUACCUACAGACCGAACAAACCAAGCAGACUUUACUGAAUCCGAACAUGCCUCCUUCAAACACCAAGGGCGCCCCUCCUUUUUCAACCAGUUCUAGUUCUUUUGGCACCACCCCUGGUUCUUUUGGCACCAUUCCUCCUAAUUUAUUUGAAUCUGCAUUUGGCUCCGGUUCUGGUUCUUUUGGCUGCGGUUCUGGUUCUUUUGGCUCCAGUCCUAGUUCUUUUGGCUCCGGUUCUGGUUCUUUUGGCUCCAGUCCUAGUUCUUUUGGCCCCAGUCCUAGUUCUUUUGGUACAAGUCCUGGUUCUUUUGAUUUUAGUGGUUUAUUCAGGGCUCCAAGAAAUGAUGAUAGGAAGGAAGUGAAUGGGUAUGUUAAAGGAUCAGUGACGUACAUGAUAUCAGAUGACCUGACAGUGAAGCCCAAGCCAGGCAUUUCUUGUGUAAGGUUUCUUAAGAGCUUAGGUGUCAAAGACAUGGAUACCGUGGAAGAAAAAAUUGUGAAGAUCGACGCCAAGAAGGCUUUGCAGUUGGUGAAGACUUCCUUUGAAUCCAGUACUGUUCUCACGGACGUAUUUGUUGGAAAGACGGGGAAGAAAUGUGAUACUGAUGAGUGAUGAGUGCUUCCAACUCCACAAAGAAUGUAUGUCCUAGUUAAAACUUUGUUUCUUCUAGUACCCCCUCCCCGCUCCUCCUAAAACUUUUGUCGAAGAGAACGUUUACUAUCUGCAUGUAUUUUGAUUGUUAAAUAAAAAACUGCAGUGUUGCGUGUUCUUUUGUUUUA